GGGCCCGAACCAGUUUCGACGGGGUGGAGAAGGAUUGGCAAGCGAGCCGCGGACCCUGAGGACCGCGUUACCAACAGGGAACCAAACGUAGCUGCGGAUUCUCGCCAGCUCGCUCUCGCCGCCUAGUAAGCGGAUCUGAGAGUCGUCGGCCUUCCCUUUGGAUCACGAGGGAGUUCACCGGCGUCGCAUAGUGAUCCUGGCUCCGAGACAGGGUUCCUCGGUCAAGGGGCGAGAUUGCAGGAGGAGCUGGGGGCGGAGUGUUUUGCCGACGAUGGCGCCCACCCCGAGAUCUACAUCAUCGGCUGCGCUCGGAGAAACCCAUCUGGAAACGCCUUCGGACGCCGGGGCAGUGCCGGCCGGGUCCAUCA
This 368-nucleotide transfer-messenger RNA is filed under the name Thermoleophilia bacterium. It matches the Rfam family "transfer-messenger RNA". Rfam says of the family: Bacterial tmRNA, also known as 10Sa RNA or SsrA, is named for its dual tRNA and mRNA-like properties. Its role is to liberate the mRNA from a stalled ribosome. To accomplish this part of the tmRNA is used as a reading frame that ends in a translation stop signal. The record is from RNAcentral. Lineage: Bacteria; Bacillati; Actinomycetota; Thermoleophilia. RNAcentral also lists the same sequence under 2 other names.